UUAAACUGAAGAGUUUGAUCAUGGCUCAGAUUGAACGCUGGCGGCAUGCCUAACACAUGCAAGUCGAACGAUGAAGUCUAGCUUGCUAGACGGAUUAGUGGCGGACGGGUGAGUAAUGUAUAGGGAUCUGCCUAGUAGUGGGGGACAACAGCCGGAAACGGCUGCUAAUACCGCAUACGCUCUACGGAGGAAAGCGGGGGCUCUUCGGACCUCGUGCUAUUAG
Molecule: ribosomal RNA, 223 nt
Filed under: Methylophaga sulfidovorans
Lineage: Bacteria; Pseudomonadati; Pseudomonadota; Gammaproteobacteria; Thiotrichales; Piscirickettsiaceae
Description: 16S rRNA. Bacterial SSU
Rfam family: Bacterial small subunit ribosomal RNA
Source: RNAcentral